GCAUGCCUUACACAUGCAAGUCGAACGGCAGCGGGGGUAGCUUGCUACCUGCCGGCGAGUGGCGAACGGGUGAGUAAUACAUCGGAACGUGCCCUGUAGUGGGGGAUAACUAGUCGAAAGACUAGCUAAUACCGCAUACGACCUGAGGGUGAAAGUGGGGGACCGCAAGGCCUCAUGCUAUAGGAGCGGCCGAUGUCUGAUUAGCUAGUUGGUGGGGUAAAGGCCCACCAAGGCGACGAUCAGUAGCUGGUCUGAGAGGACGAUCAGCCACACUGGGACUGAGACACGGCCCAGACUCCUACGGGAGGCAGCAGUGGGGAAUUUUGGACAAUGGGGGCAACCCUGAUCCAGCAAUGCCGCGUGUGUGAAGAAGGCCUUCGGGUUGUAAAGCACUUUUGUCCGGAAAGAAAUCGCUUCGGUUAAUACCUGGAGUGGAUGACGGUACCGGAAGAAUAAGGACCGGCUAACUACGUGCCAGCAGCCGCGGUAAUACGUAGGGUCCAAGCGUUAAUCGGAAUUACUGGGCGUAAAGCGUGCGCAGGCGGUUGUGCAAGACCGAUGUGAAAUCCCCGGGCUUAACCUGGGAAUUGCAUUGGUGACUGCACAGCUAGAGUGUGUCAGAGGGAGGUAGAAUUCCACGUGUAGCAGUGAAAUGCGUAGAGAUGUGGAGGAAUACCGAUGGCGAAGGCAGCCUCCUGGGAUAACACUGACGCUCAUGCACGAAAGCGUGGG
This 732-nucleotide ribosomal RNA is filed under the name Ralstonia solanacearum. Its description in RNAcentral is "bacterial SSU rRNA". It matches the Rfam family "Bacterial small subunit ribosomal RNA", at positions 42 to 765 of the family's 1533-position model. Lineage: Bacteria; Pseudomonadati; Pseudomonadota; Betaproteobacteria; Burkholderiales; Burkholderiaceae. The record is from RNAcentral.